GAUGAACGCUCGCGGGAGGCCUAACACAUGCAAGCCGAGCGGUAUGGGUAGCUUGCUACCCAGAGAGCGGCGUACGGGUGCGUAACACGUGUGCAACCUGCCCCUAUCCGGGGGAUAGCCCUCCGAAAGGAGGAUUAAUACCCCAUAAUAUAUCUGGUGGCAUCACUAGAUAUUGAAAACCCCGGUGGAUAGGGAUGGGCACGCGCAAGAUUAGAUAGUUGGCGGGGUAACGGCCCACCAAGUCGAUGAUCUUUAGGGGUCCUGAGAGGGAGAUCCCCCACACUGGUACUGAGACACGGACCAGACUCCUACGGGAGGCAGCAGUGAGGAAUAUUGGACAAUGGGUGGAAGCCUGAUCCAGCCAUCCCGCGUGAGGGACGACGGCCCUAUGGGUUGUAAACCUCUUUUGUACGGGGAUAAACCUAUCUACGUGUAGAUAGCUGAAGGUACCGUACGAAUAAGCACCGGCUAACUCAGUG
Molecule: ribosomal RNA, 479 nt
Filed under: uncultured bacterium
Lineage: Bacteria
Description: partial 16S ribosomal RNA
Rfam family: Bacterial small subunit ribosomal RNA
Source: RNAcentral